Molecule: ribosomal RNA, 119 nt
Filed under: Hordeum vulgare subsp. vulgare (domesticated barley)
Lineage: Eukaryota; Viridiplantae; Streptophyta; Magnoliopsida; Poales; Poaceae
Source: RNAcentral
GGAUGCGAUCAUACCAGCACUAAAGCACCGGAUCCCAUCAGAACUCCGAAGUUAAGCGUGCUUGGGCGAGAGUAGUACUAGGAUGGUUGACCUCCUGGGAAGUCCUCGUGGUGCAUUCC